Eucalyptus grandis is the source of this 4979-nucleotide long non-coding RNA. RefSeq lists it as uncharacterized. The record is from RefSeq and is a predicted model, not a curated record. The transcript is spliced from 2 exons. Lineage: Eukaryota; Viridiplantae; Streptophyta; Magnoliopsida; Myrtales; Myrtaceae.
GUCACUUCUGUACACUGCGUUUUCGAGCUGCUUGCGGAGCUUUCUAGCGAUGGAGACCGACGAAGGUGGGUCGCUGGCGCUUGCUUCCGUUUCGACUUCGAGUUCCGACGACCCGCUUUGGCUUCCCAGGUGAAGAUGGUGGAGUAGAAUCCAGAGAAGGAUUUUCUGGCUAUGGUCAUGGAUGACACGAAGGUGGCGGUGCUUGUCGAUUCAAUUGGCAGAGGCGGUGGACGAUCUCUCCUGGGUAUUGCUUCGAGUCAAGAAAGUUCGCUUCUUUAAUGAUGGCUUGGUGUGUGUGCCCAUUUAGUCGUUGGCCUUAUCUCGUUCUGCUUCUUAGGCUUUUCCUAAAUGUGCUUCUCUGCCCUUUUCGCCAUAAGAACCACUGUAAGUGCCAAUCUAGGUUGAAUUGCGUUCAGUAGAGGAUUGGACGAAUAUAGAGGUAUAAAGUGCUUGGAAGUCUGAAUGAGAAGGUGAUGUCGAACCAAGGAGUUGGUCUUUUACACUGAAACGAAGAGUGAAUGUAGGUGAUGCGAUUGGAAAUCUAGAGAGGACUCAGUCUCAAGUAAAAAAUUCCAAGCUGGUAUCAGUAGAAUAAAGGGAUUUUAUUUAUAGGCGCAAUGGAUUCUUAUCGACUUCUCAACCAGGUUUUUCCCUUCUUUGUACACUAGUUAGAGUGUCCAUGAAAAUAAUUAACAUGAAUUGGGGGGAUGCCAUUUAUGCUAGAUAGAUUAGAUAUCUCCGAUGCAGAAAUGCUUGAUGCCCACUUGGAGUUCGCAGGUUUAGCCCCUGCAGAAUACCAUCUAAAUGUCAUCAGGCAUCUAAAAAGAUCUUAAAUUUCUGAUGGUGACUCUCACAAUGUAAUUUUACUGCUGGCUCCCCUUCUUUUACCGGUUGAGCAUUCUUUUACUGAUUGCACGUGCCCUACAAGGAGAGCUUUAGCGUAUAUUGAAAUAUAGACUAUAGGCGGAAAGUUUCUCACAUUUUGUAUUACUUGAAGUUUUAUUUAUCUUCUUCUCAUUAUAGAAGGGCAUUUCAUCACAUCAUUUUGGCUAAUCAAGUUCGUUGGUUGGAGUUUUAGCUUUUGGAUAUAUCUCAAGCUAUGCUGCGUACUUAUAUGACAAUCUGGUCAAGAGGGACAUUGGGAGAAAUUGGAGAAAGCAAAGAGACUAGGAGGGUAAGGGGAGCUGCAUCUAAGUAUGUUAAGAUCCUAUAUGACAAUCUUUUGGUAAUUCAAAUUUGUAAGAGCCUAGGAUUAUAUGCCUAACUUGGUAGUUCUUCCUGUCUAUUCUCCCUGGAAAAAUUUAGAGGGGAGAUUUUUUCUCCAAGAAACAUCCAAAUGCUCCGCUCAUCAUAUUGUCUUCUGGAUAUGGAGAACAUUUUGAGUGCAACAUAGUACUUGAGCCAGUACUUGAAUGGUUUCUGUUAAGAACCUAAGUUUUAAAUACAAGUACACUGCAAUCUUCGCCUGGAGAAAUUUUUCGAGCAUCUACUCCACCUUGAGGUUCCAUAGUUGAGCAACAAGAUUUGUUUUUCAAUUCAUAUAUUGGAUUGGAGCCUGCCAACAAGAUAUAGAUUCUCUCGCUUUAGAUGACCUACUAGCCCAAAGAAAUCUUGUAUAAAGUGACCGCCUCUUAGUUAUUUUGUGCAGUUAUGAUGUUUUGCCUCACUUCACUAAUUUUGAUUAACAUUUUGUUGCUUAAUGUUUGUGCUCUAUCUUUCCUCUUCUUCUGUCAAUUUUGUUGGGAACAAAUAACCCCCCCCCUUUUCUUUUUUGUUUAUAAUGAAUCGCUUUCUUUGCACAUUGCAAUGUGGGUCAUCAAUUCUGGCUUCUCGUAAUCAUUCCAAUCUACUCCAGGUAAAUGUAUAGCAUCAUUAUGCCAGUGUCCUGAUGGCAAGGUUGUUGUCUUGGACUUGAAGAUGAUAAGUUUGACUGCAUGAUCUCAAAGUGAGCUUUCUAAGUUGUCAUUUGAAUGUUACCCUCAUUGCUUCUCAACUAGAAAUUCCUUCUGCAACAAUCCUUUGUCAUCAGAACGUGUCCUUCCUUAAUCUCCUGGGAAAGAUUCUGAAUUGCUCAAAAUCUGCAUGAUGCAAUGCACACAGCAAACUUGCUCAGCAAAAAUUGAGCUGCUAAUAGAGAUAGCAAUCCACUUUUAUCGGUCAUGUCUGUCAAUGUCAAGUUAACAAUGGAUUGCUAGAUACGUCAAUCUGAGCAAGAUAUGAUUAACAAAAAAAAUUGUUGGAAAACUCUGUCCAAACAUGACCCUUUUGUUAAAUAGGUGAACAAAUUACAAGAGAUGAAUAAGCCAUUUAACUAGUUAGAUAUAAUUGAAUGGGUCAUUCCAAUCCUCACAUGACCAACACAGCAUAUGUACAAUAUGCAUAUCAUCAUCAAUGUCAAUUAAAUUUGAAAAGAAACAAAAUUCAUGUAUGAUUAUUAUUAAAGAUUUUAAUAAACUAAAUAUAAACAGAUCAUGAUUAGUCAGGUUGUUAAUCAAGUUGGCACUAUUGUUUAGUUAGAUAGAUUACAUGACUCGAUUUCUGUUUCACAGUUUGAACUUUGAAUUCAGAACAAUAUUCAUUUAUUUAUUGUGUUAGCUGUUAAGUAGGGAGCCACAAUUUUGAUAUGACAUGGAAAUUUGAGUCAUGAAUCAAAAAAUCAAAUCUAUGGAUUGUGGAUUGUGAAUUUCAUCCAAUGGAAUUAUAAACAAUGAUAAUGAUGUUUGAGAUUGUUAUUCCAUGACAGACGUAAUUACUAGAUAUUGAUUGUAAAGUAUGGUGUUAUUUUUAUUGUUAGGUAAUUACUAAUGAUAAAGAUACUUCAAAUUUGACUAAUGUUAUUAUUUCUAGACAUGAGAUAUUACUACAUUUUAUUUUUCUUUUAUCAAAUAAGUACCCAUUUGACAAGGACACAAACAUUGUGUACAUAGUAUUGUAAUUGGAUUCCCAUUCAUAGAAUUUAGUAUAAGACAAUCAAAUCAUCCACUAAGCCUGAUGCAGCCAACAAGUUAUGCAAGGUGACUACCAAGUUUCUGGUGAAGAUUGACUUUGAAACUCAAACAAGGAUCAGGAUUUGUCUUGAAGUUUAAUCAGUGAAUUUAUCAACUAGGAUUUGAGUAUUAUUAGGAUUUUACGAUGUUUCCUUCUUCCUUUUAAGUUUGAGUAGGAGGAUCUUACAUAUACUCCAAUAAUGUUUCUUGUUUAGAGAUUUCCUAUUUCAACUAGGAGUAGAACUUUUAGAGAGUCUACAAAUAUAGUUAUAAUUUUUACUUUUCAACAGAGUUGAUAAUUCAUUGAACUUGGCAAGUGUUGCUUUGCAGAUUGUGUGAUGCAAUUCCUCUUUGGUGUCUUGCUUAAAAAACCCUAGGUGUCAUGUUUAGGCAGUUUUGUGUGUGAUGCCUAAAUAUUUAUUCUUUAUCGUGGGACUCAUCGUCCUACACCAAAGCCUUGAAAUGUUUUUGACACUACAGUGUUUGAUGCAUGAGUUAAAUUAUGAAUCACGGAAAUUGAUUGACUCAUAUCUAAUCGGUGAAAUCAGCAGUGAAUUACUUUAAUCACCAAUCAUACAUAACUUAUAUACUAUUCAAUAGAUUUAUAUACUUUAGGACUUGAAUAUGAUUGAUGUGCUUAAUUGCAUUCUUGUGUAGGAAAAAACAUUUCCUCCCAUGCUAAUGCCGUCAUCAAUGAUUUAAACUAUUUCAAUUGUCAACGACAAAUUAAAGCAUAAUGUUUGCUGGGGACAACCUCAUUGUGAGAAUAUAUGGUCUAAGUGGAUGGUGUCAUGUAGAAGCAUUCAUCUGUGACAUGCUUAUUUUCAUCAAAAUUAAUAGCUUUCUUCAAUUAUUUGUAAUAUAUGUUUAGUUCAGUCAAAUUAAGAAGGUGAUUAUUUAGGUGACUCUUAAAUGAUAUGACCUGUAUGUGCUUCAAUUAUGCUUGUGGGUGGAAAAGUUUGUAAGUAAUUGGUUAUAUUUCUAUUAAGCUAUAACUGCUUGGUCAUGAGUAGAAUGGCUCAGAACUUGGCUGUACUUGCUGUAAUUCUGUUUCUUUGAGAUUUCUACCAGUUUAUUACUAAUCGUCCUCUUCAUGGAUUACAUUUUACUGAGAAGGGAGUUUGUUUGUACAUAAUGAAUGCUAUCUUACCAAAAUAGUUGUCUUUAUGGAACAAUGGAUAUGUGAUGUGCUGCUUUUGAUAUGCACUAGCUUGCAGCAGUUAUGCACACUGUAGUAUAAUCAUUUCUAGCAUGGUAUAAAUAACAAGCAGAAUGGAAAACUGUUAAGAAGCUUGAAGUCCCAUAUGGCAGUUGUGGUGUGUCUCAACUGGGAGGAGGAUGCCCAAAUUAAUUGAGUAUGUGGCAUCUUUCAACUUAAAAGUUGAUAUAACUUUGUGAUCUUUAUUACCAAUAACAGAUAUCUUAUGGCUCACACCUUUUUAUAAUGCUCUGUUUGCAUUUAAAUAAUUGUUUUAGUCUGGUUUUCUUAAAUAUUUAGAAUCUUAUUUCAUAGUCCAACAGCUUUAGCAUGGGUUUUGUGGAAGAUUUUUUGAAAGAGUAUGUUUGGUGUCAUCUGUAACUUGUUGAUUUGUUUGCCUCCUUAGCUUUAAUCUCAUAUUUUUUAUGUUCCAACUGGAAAGUAAUUAUUCAUUUGUUUAUAGAACGCUUUUAGUAACUCUUUGGCAUUUGAAGAUCGCACUACUUGAUUCUUCCCUCCAGGUCCAAGAGUUCCUCAAAUGCCUGAACUAGUACCCGGAGAUGCUGGUUUAACUGACAAUGUUCAAGAUUCAUUUGUAGAGCACUCAAAUUCUUCAAAGCGAUGUUUGCAUAUCUUUUGCGUUGGAGAUAAAGAUGGGCUUUUGUGCUUUAGUGGGUUUGGUGUCUUUCCAAUCGCAAAUAUUUGUAAACAUCCUAUUUACUCAAAUCAAAUAUUUAUGAGUAUGAUCUAUCAGAUUCAGUUUAUGAUUCCUCUUUCCUUGUUCUUGUUUCUCA